This is a long non-coding RNA of Ornithodoros turicata, 187 nucleotides long. RefSeq lists it as uncharacterized. The transcript is spliced from 3 exons. NCBI's taxonomy places the organism in Eukaryota, Metazoa, Arthropoda, Arachnida, Ixodida, Argasidae. The record is from RefSeq and is a predicted model, not a curated record.
UCCCGGCCCACCGCCCGAUGGUCGAAGCGAGGGAUUACGGGAUAGACAGCAACGCCGAAUACCCCGACGAUAGCCAAGGAGGUAGGAGUGAGCCCGAGGAUGAGAGUAACCUGGAGAAUCAAGGAUUUUCCUGCUGAUACUGCACUGACAUGGACACCUGCCAUUUUUUGCUCUUUUGUGUACAACC